UAUCCGGAAUUAUUGGGCGUAAAGGGCUCGUAGGCGGUUCGUCGCGUCCGGUGUGAAAGUCCAUCGCUUAACGGUGGAUCCGCGCCGGGUACGGGCGGGCUUGAGUGCGGUAGGGGAGACUGGAAUUCCCGGUGUAACGGUGGAAUGUGUAGAUAUCGGGAAGAACACCAAUGGCGAAGGCAGGUCUCUGGGCCGUCACUGACGCUGAGGAGCGAAAGCGUGGGGAGCGAACAGGAUUAGAUACCCUGGUAGUCCACGCCGUAAACGGUGGAUGCUGGAUGUGGGGACCAUUCCACGGUCUCCGUGUCGGAGCCAACGCGUUAAGCAUCCCGCCUGGGGAGUACGGCCGCAAGGCUAAAACUCAAAGAAAUUGACGGGGGCCCGCACAAGCGGCGGAGCAUGCGGAUUAAUUCGAUGCAACGCGAA
RNAcentral lists this ribosomal RNA (426 nucleotides) under uncultured bacterium. Its description in RNAcentral is "bacterial SSU rRNA". It matches the Rfam family "Bacterial small subunit ribosomal RNA", at positions 542 to 965 of the family's 1533-position model. The record is from RNAcentral.